Clupea harengus (Atlantic herring) is the source of this 687-nucleotide long non-coding RNA. The record is from Ensembl. Lineage: Eukaryota; Metazoa; Chordata; Actinopteri; Clupeiformes; Clupeidae.
GCGGCAUGGUUGGGGCGCAUCACCGUGAGGCGUGUUUUAUGGCAAUCCAUCCAAGUGGUUAAAUACAGCUUCACCCUCGUUGGAUCUUUAAGCGCGGAUUUCAAACAGUCUUAAAACACCACGACAGGACACCCAGACGAACGAUGGACGGUAUUAAUUUAGGUUUAUUUCUUUAUUUUUAGAAGACGCCGAGGAGUUUGGACUAGCAGUGCGUAAUUAUGAGAAGAGACACGAGGCAUUGUUGACCGAGCCGAUAAUCAACAAUCAAAACAGCGAUGAUGUAACCCAUAAUGUGUAUUUCCCACCAGAGCUAGUCACCCCGUCAAUUAGAGCAUACAGCCAUAACGGAGACCCCGGACAAUCUGCAGAAUUAUCCGGUCUUACGGAGCUUACACAACGAGUGGGCCGGGGACCAUAUCUACAGGAUCUACUAUCGCGAGACACCCCGUGGGCUGACUUAUUGAAACGGACGAGUGUGGAUGCCGUGGAGGGACAACCGGCUGGCGGCAAUAAACGUUUUAAACCAGCGAACGAGGGGGGCGUAGUGGUGACUGAAGCCCAAAUACAUGAACAAGUCUUCAACGCAGACGAUGGAGGAUUGGCGCCGGUGUUUGAUGACAACUACCGCUGGACCGAUGCAGAUGUCACAUUAUGGGACCAAGUAGUGUUUGGCGGUGAAUCGGGGUA